GACGAACGCUGGCGGCGUGCCUAAUACAUGCAAGUCGAACGAACUCUGGUAUUGAUUGGUGCUUGCAUCAUGAUUUAUAUUUGAGUGAGUGGCGAACUGGUGAGUAACACGUGGGAAACCUGCCCAGAAGCGGGGGAUAACACCUGGAAACAGAUGCUAAUACCGCAUAACAACUUGGACCGCAUGGUCCGAGUUUGAAAGAUGGCUUCGGCUAUCAUUUUUGGAUGGUCCCGCGGCGUAUUAGCUAGAUGGUGAGGUAACGGCUCACCAUGGCAAUGAUACGUAGCCGACCUGAGAGGGUAAUCGGCCACAUUGGGACUGAGACACGGCCCAAACUCCUACGGGAGGCAGCAGUAGGGAAUCUUCCACAAUGGACGAAAGUCUGAUGGAGCAACGCCGCGUGAGUGAAGAAGGGUUUCGGCUCGUAAAACUCUGUUGUUAAAGAAGAACAUAUCUGAGAGUAACUGUUCAGGUAUUGACGGUAUUUAACCAGAAAGCCACGGCUAACUACGUGCCAGCAGCCGCGGUAAUACGUAGGUGGCAAGCGUUGUCCGGAUUUAUUGGGCGUAAAGCGAGCGCAGGCGGUUUUUUAAGUCUGAUGUGAAAGCCUUCGGCUCAACCGAAGAAGUGCAUCGGAAACUGGGAAACUUGAGUGCAGAAGAGGACAGUGGAACUCCAUGUGUAGCGGUGAAAUGCGUAGAUAUAUGGAAGAACACCAGUGGCGAAGGCGGCUGUCUGGUCUGUAACUGACGCUGAGGCUCGAAAGUAUGGGUAGCAAACAGGAUUAGAUACCCUGGUAGUCCAUACCGUAAACGAUGAAUGCUAAGUGUUGGAGGGUUUCCGCCCUUCAGUGCUGCAGCUAACGCAUUAAGCAUUCCGCCUGGGGAGUACGGCCGCAAGGCUGAAACUCAAAGGAAUUGACGGGGGCCCGCACAAGCGGUGGAGCAUGUGGUUUAAUUCGAAGCUACGCGAAGAACCUUACCAGGUCUUGACAUACUAUGCAAAUCUAAGAGAUUAGACGUUCCCUUCGGGGACAUGGAUACAGGUGGUGCAUGGUUGUCGUCAGCUCGUGUCGUGAGAUGUUGGGUUAAGUCCCGCAACGAGCGCAACCCUUAUUAUCAGUUGCCAGCAUUAAGUUGGGCACUCUGGUGAGACUGCCGGUGACAAACCGGAGGAAGGUGGGGAUGACGUCAAAUCAUCAUGCCCCUUAUGACCUGGGCUACACACGUGCUACAAUGGAUGGUACAACGAGUUGCGAACUCGCGAGAGUAAGCUAAUCUCUUAAAGCCAUUCUCAGUUCGGAUUGUAGGCUGCAACUCGCCUACAUGAAGUCGGAAUCGCUAGUAAUCGCGGAUCAGCAUGCCGCGGUGAAUACGUUCCCGGGCCUUGUACACACCGCCCGUCACACCAUGAGAGUUUGUAACACCCAAAGUCGGUGGGGUAACCUUUUAGGAACCAGCCGCCUAAGGUGGGACAGAUGAUUAGGGUG
RNAcentral lists this ribosomal RNA (1489 nucleotides) under Lactiplantibacillus pentosus. Its description in RNAcentral is "bacterial SSU rRNA". It matches the Rfam family "Bacterial small subunit ribosomal RNA". Lineage: Bacteria; Bacillati; Bacillota; Bacilli; Lactobacillales; Lactobacillaceae. The record is from RNAcentral.